UUGCUGAUGGUCCAGUGGCUAAGAUUCUGAGCUCCCAAUACAGUAGACCCAGGUUCAAUCCCUGGUUGGGGAA
RNAcentral lists this transfer RNA (73 nucleotides) under Bos taurus (domestic cattle). It matches the Rfam family "tRNA". From Rfam's summary of the family: Transfer RNA (tRNA) molecules are approximately 80 nucleotides in length. The record is from Rfam by way of RNAcentral. RNAcentral also lists the same sequence under 5 other names. Lineage: Eukaryota; Metazoa; Chordata; Mammalia; Artiodactyla; Bovidae.